Molecule: unclassified non-coding RNA, 556 nt
Filed under: Hevea brasiliensis (rubber tree)
Lineage: Eukaryota; Viridiplantae; Streptophyta; Magnoliopsida; Malpighiales; Euphorbiaceae
Source: RNAcentral
UUCUUCUUCUUCUUCUUCAACCGUAGCUAUCCCAUUCUCAAUCCACUGUUGAUCAACGGCUUUGUCUUUUGCGAUCAAAUGAACAUUUCUUACCACAAUCGAAGACUUGUGCUCAAUUUCUUGUGCUUCUUCAACUUCCGUGCCCACAUUUUUUUCUUCUGUAACCACUGUUUUCACCUCUGAUAAUUCUUGUGAUUUCCUGGGGCUUCCUCCAAUCUUUUCUCUGCUCUUACCAGUAAUUUGAUUAGACUCUUGAGGUUGAGAAUUGCUGAUGAGACCUGAAUUCUUGACGAUUAUAACCAGAAUCCCAUUGCAAAGAAGGAACAUGUAGUUCUUGCCCAUCUUGCAGUUAAGGAACUGCAUUAACUGGAACAUUAAAGGAAAUAGUGAAGAACUAAGAAGUAUCACAAAGAACAAAAUCACAAGCUGCAGGGAGUGAGAAUUGCUGAAUUUGCUCAAAUUGGUUUGGUAGUUUUGAUGCUUGAGCUUGAUUGAUUCCAUCUCUUCUCAAUUGGAAGGGAGCUUCUGGGGGAGGAUAAGAACUAAUGAGCUUUUG